AUUACUUUGGCAGAAAAGUGUAAUGAAUUUAGAAUUCAUAUAUGUAAAUAUAUUUACAAGUAAUA
RNAcentral lists this transfer RNA (65 nucleotides) under Exocelina ferruginea. RNAcentral describes it as "transfer RNA-Leu". The record is from RNAcentral. Lineage: Eukaryota; Metazoa; Arthropoda; Insecta; Coleoptera; Dytiscidae.